UAAGGAAUAUUGGUCAAUGGAGGAAACUCUGAACCAGCCAUCCCGCGUGCAGGAAGAAUGCCCUAUGGGUUGUAAACUGCUUUUAUCUGGGAAGAAAAGCCGGCAUUUAUGUUGGUCUGACGGUACCAGAGGAAUAAGCACCGGCUAACUCCGUGCCAGCAGCCGCGGUAAUACGGAGGGUGCAAGCGUUAUCCGGAAUUACUGGGUUUAAAGGGUGCGUAGGUGGCGCUGUAAGUCAGUGGUGAAAGGUUCCGGCUUAACCGGAGAAUGGCCUUUGAUACUGCAGUGCUAGGAUUGGGUUGAGGUUGGCGGAAUGUGACAUGUAGCGGUGAAAUGCAUAGAUAUGUCAUAGAACACCGAUUGCGAAGGCAGCUGACUGGACCUUGAUUGACACUGAGGCACGAAAGCGUGGGGAGCGAACAGG
This 424-nucleotide ribosomal RNA is filed under the name uncultured bacterium. Its description in RNAcentral is "bacterial SSU rRNA". It matches the Rfam family "Bacterial small subunit ribosomal RNA", at positions 355 to 776 of the family's 1533-position model. The record is from RNAcentral.